AGUGAACGCUGGCGGCGUGCUUAACACAUGCAAGUCGAACGAGAACGGGUUAUAGCUUGCUAUAAUUGUCAGCUGAGUGGCGCACGGGUGGGUAAUGUAUAGGUAAUAUGCCUCUUACUAAGGGAUAACAAAUGGAAACGUUUGCUAAUACCUUAUACUCCUUAUUAACAUAAGUUAAUAAGGGAAAGAUUUAUUGGUAAGAGAUUAGCCUGUAUUGUAUCAGUUAGUUGGUGGGGUAAUGGCUUACCAAGACUAUGACACAUAACUGGUUUGAGAGGAUGAUCAGUCACACUGGAACUGAGACACGGUCCAGACUCCUACGGGAGGCAGCAGUGGGGAAUAUUGCACAAUGGACGAAAGUCUGAUGCAGCAACGCCGCGUGGAGGAUGACACAUUUCGGUGCGUAAACUCCUUUUAUAUGAGAAGAUAAUGACGGUAUUAUAUGAAUAAGCACCGGCUAACUCCGUGCCAGCAGCCGCCGUAA
RNAcentral lists this ribosomal RNA (484 nucleotides) under uncultured bacterium. RNAcentral's name for it is "partial 16S ribosomal RNA". It matches the Rfam family "Bacterial small subunit ribosomal RNA", at positions 29 to 523 of the family's 1533-position model. The record is from RNAcentral.